UGGGGAAUAUUGCACAAUGGGCGCAAGCCUGAUGCAGCGACGCCGCGUGGGGGAUGACGGCCUUCGGGUUGUAAACUCCUUUCGCCAGGGACGAAGCGUUUUGUGACGGUACCUGGAGAAGAAGCACCGGCUAACUACGUGCCAGCAGCCGCGGUAAUACGUAGGGUGCAAGCGUUGUCCGGAAUUACUGGGCGUAAAGAGCUCGUAGGUGGUUUGUCACGUCGUCUGUGAAAUUCCACAGCUUAACUGUGGGCGUGCAGGCGAUACGGGCUGACUUGAGUACCGUAGGGGUAACUGGAAUUCCUGGUGUAGCGGUGAAAUGCGCAGAUAUCAGGAGGAACACCGAUGGCGAAGGCAGGUUACUGGGCAGUUACUGACGCUGAGGAGCGAAAGCAUGGGUAGCAAACAGGAUUAGAUACCCUGGUAGUCCAUGCCGUAAACGGUGGGCGCUAGGUGUAGGGACCUUUUGGGGUUUCUGUGCCGUAGCUAACGCAUUAAGCGCCCCGCCUGGGGAGUACGGCCGCAAGGCUA
Molecule: ribosomal RNA, 531 nt
Filed under: uncultured bacterium
Lineage: Bacteria
Description: bacterial SSU rRNA
Rfam family: Bacterial small subunit ribosomal RNA
Source: RNAcentral